UAAUGAUCCUGCUCGAGAUUUGUCCAUUCAAGUGCUAGAGAAAUUUUCUCUUGUGACCAGAUUUGCUCGUGAAACAACAUCUCAACUUUUUCGUGAAGCUCAGGGAGAUGGUUUCGUUCCUAAUGACAGGAGGAAGCAAGACCAAAAAACAAAUGAUUAUCCUCGCAUUGCUGAAUGUAAUGAUGUUCAGAAGUUGCCUGAAGAAUUCCUAAUGACAGGAGGGAGCAAGACCAAAAAACAAAUGAUUAUCCUCGCAUUGCUGAAUGUAAUGAUGUUCAGAAGUUGCCUGAAGACGUUCAAGUGCCUGCAGAUCCCUUGGAG
RNAcentral lists this long non-coding RNA (321 nucleotides) under Nicotiana benthamiana. Its description in RNAcentral is "long non-coding RNA (NBEN_LNC039523)". The record is from RNAcentral. Lineage: Eukaryota; Viridiplantae; Streptophyta; Magnoliopsida; Solanales; Solanaceae.